UCUUUUCUUUUGAUAGGAGAGUUUUUAAAACCAGUGUUAUUUUUGUAAGUUUAAGAGAAGUUUGUGUAUUGAAUUUUUUAUUUUUAAUAUUAAAGAGCUUUGUUAAACUUAGACUUAAGUUUAGGUCAUUUUGGGGGUUUAGCUCAGUUGGCUAGAGCAUCGGCUUUGCAAGCCGAGGGUCAAGGGUUCGAGCCCCUUAACCUCCAUUGGGCUUAUGUCCUAAAUCGUAAUUAAGUAUGUUUUUAAGUAACUUUGUUAAAGUAAUUGUUGGAAUGUGAAACAGAGGAAGUUAAAAUUUCUGGGUUAAGUUGAGAUCUGUUGAUAUUAAGAAGAAUCUCUAGAAGCAAAAGCAAGCUUUCGAUAAAACCCGAAGUUGUUUCGCUAAAGUGCAAGGAUUAAACAGGAUUGUAUUUUCCAGUAGCCUAUUUUAUAAACGAUCUGCAUUUAGUAAAUAGUUUUUAGUUAAGAAAUAAUGUAGAUUGCUAAGUGUGAUGCC
Molecule: unclassified non-coding RNA, 496 nt
Filed under: Borreliella burgdorferi (Lyme disease spirochete)
Lineage: Bacteria; Pseudomonadati; Spirochaetota; Spirochaetia; Spirochaetales; Borreliaceae
Description: partial 16S-23S ribosomal RNA intergenic spacer
Rfam family: tRNA (bases 133-206)
Source: RNAcentral